Molecule: long non-coding RNA, 1808 nt
Organism: Vespa crabro (European hornet)
Lineage: Eukaryota; Metazoa; Arthropoda; Insecta; Hymenoptera; Vespidae
Exons: 3
Source: RefSeq, a predicted model, not a curated record
AGGAAUAAAUUUCAAUUAUACCGUCGACUCGGUAAAUAUUACCGCGAAAAACGUUCGAGUCCCUAAUCAAGUCUCUGGGAAUAAAAGUCGAAGGAAUUAAAAAAAAGAUAUCUUCCGUUUCAAAAUGAUAUAUACCUAUUGUACGAUAGAUCGAUAGAAAACGGAACACACUUUCCGUAACUUGUAACGAUCCGUUCUCAUUGCUAUUGUUGGAAAAGAAAGUGGCAUUACAUAGUUGCCGAACACUCGUCCAAAAAAUUUAAAGAAUUCGCCUAAUCUCGUCGAGAAGCCAUUAACGAAAGUAAUCGAUUAUGUGAUUAACAAAAGUAAACGAUGUAAGUGAUUAUGAUCCUGUGUUACGAACAUUCCACAGCUACUGAUUAAAUCGGAGGGUAGAUAAGAGGAAAGGCACGCGAUAAGAUGGCGUAAUAACGCAGCCCGCUUACGUCUUAUAUUAGUUUUACGGUGUUUACCAAUUGCGGUUAACUGUUUGCGCAAGAAGAACGGUCGGGCUGGCGAAUAAUAGUAAGAUUCGAGAUGGAAAAAGGAUAUGAAAAUGGUGGACAAUUGAAAACUCAUUCGUUAUCGCUUCGUUAUGACACUAUGAGCAAGAAAGUCUGAAGGCUGAGCCAAGAAUUCCAGGUGGGAGGGGUGGAGUCUUGGGGCGCAGGUGAGUGAGCUCCGGGAUGAUGAUGUGGCACAUUGGCCUCGUUCGCUCGAAUAACUCCUCUCGUCGCUAUUAGACCGGUUCUCUGUAAGUCGAUUUAAAGAAAUUUUUCCUUACGGAAAUACCGCGUCACAAGUCAGGUACGAGACAACGAACGCAAGAAGUCGAUCGAUCUGGCGAGGAUCUACGCGAAGACAAUCAAUUCUUUCCGAUGAUUUUUCAUUUUCCAUAUAUAUAUAUAUGUAGUAGGGAUAUCAUUUAUAAGAAUAAGCCUCGAUUGUAUGUGAAGAAGAAAAUGAUGCAAACUUUACGUGUCAUUAUGAUAAUGCGCAUUGUCAUCGGUUUUUUUCUCUUUCUUUUGCUACUUUGCUAUUUUUCGAAAAUAGCCUAUGGCAAAAAUAGAAAGUUUUUUCAGAAAAUUCCGCCAGAAUAGCGCAGUAGAUUGACCCUUACGUCUUAAAAUUGUUCUCCAUUGUUCAUCAAAAUUGGUCGAAAAUUACUUCUGUUAUCAUUGAUGACGUUAAUGCUGUUUUCAACAUUUUUCACGAAGAAAAAGUUACUAGUACUGCGGCGCCCCUUGAAAUUUGCGACAAAAGAGAUAAAGCUCGCAGCAGCCCCACUACUGAUUUUCAUAUACGGAAUGGUUUAUCCAGUCAGUGAAGUUGCAAUUGAUAAAGUGUGCGUAAAUAGCUGAUGCUCAGAUUUUUUGAACAUUUCUGAACGCAAAAAAAUAGGUUGCACUGAGAAGCUACGGAAACUCAUUCAAGAUAAGAAAAUACGCAUCCCUAAUCGUUUACGUUAGUUAACAUAUGGAAGCUUAAUAUAUAAAAACUGCUGGUGCAUGUCGCGAAAAAAACAAUGUAUAAAGUAUUAAAGAAUGAAGAAUUUCCUAGAAAUUCGAAGCAGCGGUAAAAAAGCUUCAUCCUACUGACGAAGAACUCUUGGAACUCUAUGCCCUUUAUAAACAAGCUACAAUAUAGAGAUUGUAAUAGACAAAAUAGGAAUAUCAGCGAAGCCCAAUGUACGUGCGAUUUGAAAGGAAAGGCAAAAUGGGAAGCUAUGGAGAAGCAAAAAAGAAUUCAAAAGAAGCGGCCAAACAUUAAGCAUGUACAUUAAGCAUGUCGGUGAAUUGAUGGAAAAA